Molecule: transfer RNA, 77 nt
Filed under: Gammaproteobacteria bacterium
Lineage: Bacteria; Pseudomonadati; Pseudomonadota; Gammaproteobacteria
Also listed under: 2 other names
Description: tRNA-Pro
Rfam family: tRNA
About the family: Transfer RNA (tRNA) molecules are approximately 80 nucleotides in length. Their secondary structure includes four short double-helical elements and three loops (D, anti-codon, and T loops).
Source: RNAcentral
CGGGGCGUGGCGCAGUCUGGUAGCGCACUUGACUGGGGGUCAAGUGGUCACAGGUUCAAAUCCUGUCGUCCCGACCA